AUUGAACGCUGGCGGCAGGCUUAACACAUGCAAGUCGAGCGGGGUGAUGGUGCUUGCACUAUCACUUAGCGGCGGACGGGUGAGUAAUGCUUAGGAAUCUGCCUAUUAGUGGGGGACAACAUCUCGAAAGGGAUGCUAAUACCGCAUACGUCCUACGGGAGAAAGCAGGGGAUCACUUGUGACCUUGCGCUAAUAGAUGAGCCUAAGUCGGACUAGCUAGUUGGUGGGGUAAAGGCCUACCAAGGCGACGAUCUGUAGCGGGUCUGAGAGGAUGAUCCGCCACACUGGGACUGGGACACGGCCCAGACUCCUACGGGAGGCAGCAGUGGGGAAUAUUGGACAAUGGGGGGAACCCUGAUCCAGCCAUGCCGCGUGUGUGAAGAAGGCCUUAUGGUUGUAAAGCACUUUAAGCGAGGAGGAGGCUCUUUUGGUUAAUACCCAAGAUGAGUGGACGUUACUCGCAGAAUAAGCACCGGCUAACUCUGUGCCAGCAGCCGCCGUAA
RNAcentral lists this ribosomal RNA (503 nucleotides) under uncultured bacterium. RNAcentral describes it as "partial 16S ribosomal RNA". It matches the Rfam family "Bacterial small subunit ribosomal RNA", at positions 30 to 523 of the family's 1533-position model. The record is from RNAcentral.